Molecule: ribosomal RNA, 253 nt
Filed under: uncultured bacterium
Lineage: Bacteria
Description: partial 16S ribosomal RNA
Rfam family: Bacterial small subunit ribosomal RNA
Source: RNAcentral
CACGUAGGGUGCGAGCGUUGUCCGGAAUUAUUGGGCGUAAAGAGCUCGUAGGCGGUCUGUCGCGUCGGCUGUGAAAACCCGGGGCUCAACUCCGGGCCUGCAGUCGAUACGGGCAAACUGGAGUGUUGCAGGGGAGACUGGAAUUCCUGGUGUAGCGGUGAAAUGCGCAGAUAUCAGGAGGAACACCGGUGGCGAAGGCGGAUCUCUGGGCCAUUACUGACGCUGAGGAGCGAAAGCGUGGGGAGCGAACAGG